This 1132-nucleotide long non-coding RNA is filed under the name Vigna radiata. Its description in RNAcentral is "long non-coding RNA (VRAD_LNC014490)". Lineage: Eukaryota; Viridiplantae; Streptophyta; Magnoliopsida; Fabales; Fabaceae. The record is from RNAcentral.
UUUGAAAAUAGGUACUUUGAAACUUAUGCAAUCUAUCACCCAAUAUCUUCAAUUACACCAAAGUAACACAUUGAUGUCAUAACAAGAUUUCUAUCCUUUGAGCUGGAGAAAUGCAUUGACUCAGGCACAACCAUUACUCCACUAUUUUGAGUGGUGUUUUUUUCAUGUUCUUUUUUUGUAUGAAUGGUAUAAUUGUUUAUAUUGUACUCACUCCAACGUAUGACAUCAACGUUUGGCGCACUUGGAGACAUCUCGGAGAAAAUAUUUAGUGGUUUCUAGUGGAAUGGAUGACUGAUCCUUGGGAGGUAUGAUACGUUUCCAAGCACAAACGUAAGGUUCCUCUAAUUCUUAGCCAAAACCAAACGUGAUGGCAACUUCCUUGGCAAGGUUGGGCCAAAGCUAGGAGAUGUGCAUGGAGGGGUGUUUCCUUGGAUGAAUAGUGCGGAAAUGUGGUGGUAAAUGGUCCAAGGAUGAUGAGUUAAGGUAUGGAUGGGGUAGAAGCUCAAAGCCUCUAGGAGAUAUGGUUGUGGUGGUGUAGUGUUUGGUGGCUCCAAGAAAGGUUAGGUCAACUUAAGGAGGAAGGUGACUAGAAGGGCCUCUAGGGUUGUUCUAGUCUUGAUCAAGGAAGAGUAUGACCAUAAUUUGGCAGCAUAACACUACUUAAUUCCAAGAUGAAAUAGAAGGGUGGAGACAUCUCUAUUUAUAGGCCGAGGGUGUCUCCUACUAACCCUAAAAGCAUGAUCUCCCACAUUUUCUCUCAUAGGCAAAAAAUGAGGCCUUCUAACCUCUCCAAUGAUGGGAGGACAUGGGACCACACCCAAAACACAAUCCUAUCCAUUCCUAGAGUACCAUGUGGCCACUACUAAAAGUAAAUCCUCUCCACUCCUUGGGUGCCAUGUGGCUACCUUUUAAAAAACAUAUCCUCUCCAAUGAAAGCAUGACACAAGGCACACACUUUCCACUUGGUUUGGAUAUAUAACUUAGGGAAAAUCCUAUGCUACUUAGGCUUUAAUACAAGCCUUAAUCAAACCUACAUUACAUGGCCAAAUACAAGGCCUAAAUCCUAUACUACUCUUCAAUCCAUGCUUUAUGAUGGCUCUAAUAGUGGUCCACAAGGUAGAGUUGACACCAU